This 354-nucleotide ribosomal RNA is filed under the name Stenotus witchelina. RNAcentral describes it as "partial large subunit ribosomal RNA". The record is from RNAcentral. Lineage: Eukaryota; Metazoa; Arthropoda; Insecta; Hemiptera; Miridae.
AAUAUACUUUCUUUAUUUUAUAUAAAAAAUUUAAUUUUUUAGUCAAAAAGCUAAGAUGGUUUUAAAGGACGAGAAGACCCUAUAGAACUUUAUUUUCUUUUUAUAUAAUUUUUAUGGAUUUAUAAAAAUUUAUAUAUUUAUGUUAAUUUWGUUGGGGUGAUUGAAAAAAUUAUAUAACUUUUUCUACUUUAUACAUUUAUGAAUGUUAAUUUGAUCCCUUAUUAGGGAUAAUAAGAUUAAGUUACCUUAGGGAUAACAGCGUUAUUUUUUUGGAGAGUUCUUAUCGAUAAAAAAGUUUGCGACCUCGAUGUUGGAUUAAAAUAGAGUCAUCAGGGGCAGAAUAUUGUUUACUAG